AUUGAACGCUGGCGGCAUGCCUUACACAUGCAAGUCGAACGGUAACAGGUUAAGCUGACGAGUGGCGAACGGGUGAGUAAUGUAUCGGAACGUGCCCAGUCGUGGGGGAUAACUGCUCGAAAGAGCAGCUAAUACCGCAUACGACCUGAGGGUGAAAGCGGGGGAUCGCAAGACCUCGCGCGAUUGGAGCGGCCGAUAUCAGAUUAGGUAGUUGGUGAGGUAAAGGCUCACCAAGCCGACGAUCUGUAGCUGGUCUGAGAGCACGACCAGCCACACUGGGACUGAGACACGGCCCAGACUCCUACGGGAGGCAGCAGUGGGGAAUUUUGGACAAUGGGCGCAAGCCUGAUCCAGCCAUGCCGCGUGCGGGAAGAAGGCCUUCGGGUUGUAAACCGCUUUUGUCAGGGAAGAAAAGGUUCUGGCUAAUACCUGGGACUCAUGACGGUACCUGAAGAAUAAGCACCGGCUAACUACGUG
Molecule: ribosomal RNA, 477 nt
Filed under: uncultured bacterium
Lineage: Bacteria
Description: partial 16S ribosomal RNA
Rfam family: Bacterial small subunit ribosomal RNA
Source: RNAcentral